This 468-nucleotide ribosomal RNA is filed under the name uncultured bacterium. RNAcentral describes it as "partial 16S ribosomal RNA". It matches the Rfam family "Bacterial small subunit ribosomal RNA", at positions 28 to 507 of the family's 1533-position model. The record is from RNAcentral.
GACGAACGCUGGCGGCGUGCUUAACACAUGCAAGUCGAACGGGAAGGCCCUGCUUUUGUGGGGGGCUCGAGUGGCGAACGGGUGAGUAACACGUGAGUAACCUGCCCUUGACUUUGGGAUAACUUCAGGAAACUGGGGCUAAUACCGGAUAGGAGCUCCUGCUGCAUGGUGGGGGGUGGAAAGUUUUGGCGGUUGGGGAUGGACUCGCGGCUUAUCAGCUUGUUGGUGGGGUAGCGGCUUACCAAGGCUUUGACGGGUAGCCGGCCUGAGAGGGUGACCGGCCACAUUGGGACUGAGAUACGGCCCAGACUCCUACGGGAGGCAGCAGUGGGGAAUAUUGCACAAUGGGCGGAAGCCUGAUGCAGCAACGCCGCGUGCGGGAUGACGGCCUUCGGGUUGUAAACCGCUUUCGCCUGUGACGAAGCGUGAGUGACGGUAAUGGGUAAAGAAGCACCGGCUAACUACGUG